CCCUUAGAUGCUCUGGGCCGCACGCGCGCUACACUGGUCGAUGCAACGAGUUUCUUUCCUUGGCCGACAGGCCUGGGCAAUCUUUGAACAUCGAUCGUGAUCGGGAUAGAUUCUUGUAAUUUUUGAUCUUAAACGAGGAAUUCCUAGUAAACGCAAGUCAUCAGCUUGCAUUGAUUAUGUCCCUGCCCUUUGUACACACCGCCCGUCGCACCUACCGAUUGAAUGGUCCGGUGAAAUCUCCGGACUGGCGUGAGUCGGAGCAAUCUGACAAACGCCGGAAAGUUGAUUAAACCUUACCAUUUAGAGGAAGGUGAAGUCGUAACA
RNAcentral lists this ribosomal RNA (324 nucleotides) under uncultured eukaryote. Its description in RNAcentral is "partial 18S ribosomal RNA". It matches the Rfam family "Eukaryotic small subunit ribosomal RNA", at positions 1470 to 1796 of the family's 1831-position model. The record is from RNAcentral.